GACGAACGCUGGCGGCGUGCUUAACACAUGCAAGUCGAACGGAAAGGCCCUGCUUUUGUGGGGUGCUCGAGUGGCGAACGGGUGAGUAACACGUGAGUAACCUGCCCUUGACUUUGGGAUAACUUCGGGAAACUGGGGCUAAUACUGGAUAGGAGCUCCUGCUGCAUGGUGGGGGUUGGAAAGUUUCGGCGGUUGGGGAUGGACUCGCGGCUUAUCAGCUUGUUGGUGGGGUAGUGGCUUACCAAGGCUUUGACGGGUAGCCGGCCUGAGAGGGUGACCGGCCACAUUGGGACUGAGAUACGGCCCAGACUCCUACGGGAGGCAGCAGUGGGGAAUAUUGCACAAUGGGCGGAAGCCUGAUGCAGCAACGCCGCGUGCGGGAUGACGGCCUUCGGGUUGUAAACCGCUUUCGCCUGUGACGAAGCGUGAGUGACGGUAAUGGGUAAAGAAGCACCGGCUAACUACGUG
Molecule: ribosomal RNA, 468 nt
Filed under: uncultured bacterium
Lineage: Bacteria
Description: partial 16S ribosomal RNA
Rfam family: Bacterial small subunit ribosomal RNA
Source: RNAcentral